GGAGAGGUGCCCGAGAGGCCGAAGGGAACUCACUGCUAACGAGUCAUAGGUGUUAAAGCCUAUCGCGGGUUCGAAUCCCGCCCUCUCCG
This 89-nucleotide transfer RNA is filed under the name Patescibacteria group bacterium. Its description in RNAcentral is "tRNA-Ser". It matches the Rfam family "tRNA". Rfam says of the family: Transfer RNA (tRNA) molecules are approximately 80 nucleotides in length. Their secondary structure includes four short double-helical elements and three loops (D, anti-codon, and T loops). The record is from RNAcentral.